This 72-nucleotide transfer RNA is filed under the name Zea mays. It matches the Rfam family "tRNA". From Rfam's summary of the family: Transfer RNA (tRNA) molecules are approximately 80 nucleotides in length. Their secondary structure includes four short double-helical elements and three loops (D, anti-codon, and T loops). The record is from Rfam by way of RNAcentral. Lineage: Eukaryota; Viridiplantae; Streptophyta; Magnoliopsida; Poales; Poaceae.
GCUCGUCUAGCUCAGUUGAUAGAGUGCAAAGCUUUUAACCUUGAGGUUGUGGGUUCGAUCCCCAUGGUGGUG